UGGGGAAUCGUCUAAUUGGCAGGACACCAGACUCUGGAUCUGUGAAUCGGGGUUCGAGUCCCUGUUCCCCAGCCA
RNAcentral lists this transfer RNA (75 nucleotides) under bacterium. RNAcentral describes it as "tRNA-Gln". It matches the Rfam family "tRNA". Rfam says of the family: Transfer RNA (tRNA) molecules are approximately 80 nucleotides in length. Their secondary structure includes four short double-helical elements and three loops (D, anti-codon, and T loops). Further hydrogen bonds mediate the characteristic L-shaped molecular structure. tRNAs have two regions of fundamental functional importance: the anti-codon, which is responsible for specific mRNA codon recognition, and the 3' end, to which the tRNAs corresponding amino acid is attached (by aminoacyl-tRNA synthetases). tRNAs cope with the degeneracy of the genetic code in two manners: having more than one tRNA (with a specific anti-codon) for a particular amino acid; and 'wobble' base-pairing, i.e. permitting non-standard base-pairing at the 3rd anti-codon position. The record is from RNAcentral.